GAUGAACGCUGGCGGCGUGCCUAAUACAUGCAAGUCGAGCGAACAGACGAGGAGCUUGCUCCACUGACGUUAGCGGCGGACGGGUGAGUAACACGUGGAUAACCUACCUAUAAGACUGGGAUAACUUCGGGAAACCGGAGCUAAUACCGGAUAAUAUAUUGAACCGCAUGGUUCAAUAGUGAAAGACGGUUUUGCUGUCACUUAUAGAUGGAUCCGCGCCGCAUUAGCUAGUUGGUAAGGUAACGGCUUACCAAGGCAACGAUGCGUAGCCGACCUGAGAGGGUGAUCGGCCACACUGGAACUGAGACACGGUCCAGACUCCUACGGGAGGCAGCAGUAGGGAAUCUUCCGCAAUGGGCGAAAGCCUGACGGAGCAACGCCGCGUGAGUGAUGAAGGUCUUCGGAUCGUAAAACUCUGUUAUUAGGGAAGAACAAAUGUGUAAGUAACUAUGCACGUCUUGACGGUACCUAAUCAGAAAGCCACGGCUAACUACGCG
RNAcentral lists this ribosomal RNA (497 nucleotides) under uncultured bacterium. Its description in RNAcentral is "partial 16S ribosomal RNA". It matches the Rfam family "Bacterial small subunit ribosomal RNA", at positions 28 to 507 of the family's 1533-position model. The record is from RNAcentral.